RNAcentral lists this ribosomal RNA (2703 nucleotides) under marine sediment metagenome. RNAcentral's name for it is "bacterial LSU rRNA". It matches the Rfam family "Bacterial large subunit ribosomal RNA", at positions 3 to 2596 of the family's 2925-position model. The record is from RNAcentral.
UCAAGCUAAAAAGAGCGUAAGGUGAAUGCCUUGGCAUUAGGAGCCGAUGAAGGACGUGGUUAGCUGCGAUAAGCUAUGGGGAGCCGCAAGCAGGCAUCGAUCCAUAGAUUUCCGAAUGGGGAAACCCAGCCAGAGUAAUGUCUGGUUACCCAUACAUGAAUACAUAGUGUAUGGGAGGGAACCCGGUGAACUGAAACAUCUAAGUAACCGGAGGAAAAGAAAAUAACGAAUGAUUCCGUCAGUAGCGGCGAGCGAACGCGGACAAGCCCAAACCAAGAGUCUUCGGACUUUUGGGGUUGCGGGCCGGCAACAUCCAUUCACAAAGGUUAGUCGAAUAGAGUUGGAAAGCUCUGCCAAAGAGGGUAAUAGCCCCGUAGACGAAAACUGGAGUGAGGUAGCCGGUACCAGAGUACCACGGGACACGAGUAAUCCUGUGGGAAGCUGGGGGGCCCACCCCCCAAGGCUAAAUACUACCUAAUGACCGAUAGUGAACCAGUACCGUGAGGGAAAGGUGAAAAGUACCCCGGGAGGGGAGUGAAAAAGAACCUGAAACCUUACGCUUACAAACAGAAGGAGCGGCCUUAGCUGCCGUGACUUCGUACUUUUUGUAUAACGGACCGGCGAGUUACUAUGCGUAGCAAGGUUAAGGCAUUAAGUGCCGCAGCCGAAGCGAAAGCGAGUCUUAAUAGGGCGAAUUAGUUGCGUGGAGUAGACCCGAAACCAAGCGACCUAUCCAUGUGCAGGUUGAAGCGGUAGUAAAAUACCGUGGAGGACCGAACCCACUAAUGUUGAAAAAUUAGGGGAUGACGUGUGGAUAGCGGAGAAAUUCCAAUCGAGCUUGGAGAUAGCUGGUUCUCCUCGAAAUAGCUUUAGGGCUAGCGUCGUGGUAGAGAUAUAUGGGGGUAGAGCACUGAAUGGGAUAGGGGGCCACAAAGCUUACCGAACCUUAUCAAACUCCGAAUACCAUAUAUUAUACACGGCAGUCAGACUGUGAGAGAUAAGUCACAUAGUCGAAAGGGAAACAGCCCAGAACGCCGUCUAAGGUCCCAAAGUUACAGUUAAGUGGAAAAGGAUGUGUAAUUGCACAGACAACCAGGAUGUUGGCUUAGAAGCAGCCACUCAUUCAAAGAGUGCGUAACAGCUCACUGGUCUAGUGAUUAUGCGCCGAAAAUGUCCGGGGCUAAAACUGUACACCGAAGACGCGUCUUAAUGCAUUUAUUUGUGUUAGGGGUAGAGGAGCAUCGUGUGCUAGGCUGAAGCCAGACCGUAAGGAAUGGUGGACGAAACACGAGAGAGAAUGCCGGUAUGAGUAGCGAGAAUGAAGUGAGAAUCUUUAUCGUCGAAAGCCCAAGGUUUCCUGGGGAAGGCUCGUCCUCCCAGGGUAAGUCGGGACCUAAGCCGAGAGCGAAUGCUGUAGGCGAUGGACAACUGGUUGAGAUUCCAGUACCACCAAUAAUUGUUUGACAGAUGCAGUGACACAGAAGGAUAGACGAAGCGCGUUGAUGGUAGAGCGCGUCCAAGCACUGAGGCAGACGGCAUAGUGAAGUACGUGCUGUUAAUGCUGGGGUGUGAUGGGGACAGAAAAUAAGUAUGGAAGUCGUUGAAUUCACGCUGGCGAGAAAAGCUGCUAUGGAGAUUAGAGGUGCCCGUACCGCAAACCGACACAGGUAGGCGGGGUGAGAAACCUAAGACGAUCGGGAUAACCCUUGUUAAGGAACUCGGCAAAAUGACCCCGUAACUUCGGGAGAAGGGGAGCCGGGCACUGGAUUAUGAAGUCUUGUAGAACCCAGAACACAACAAAACUAGCAAAACUGAGUGUUUAGGGUAAAAAAGCGAAUAAUGUCAGAAAUAUGAGAAGUCAUAAUCUAGUGCCCGGCCGCAGUGAAUAGGCUCAAGCGACUGUUUAGCAAAAACACAGGUCUGUGCGAAAUCGUAAGAUGACGUAUACGGGCUGACGCCUGCCCAGUGCCGGAAGGUUAAGGGGAAGUGUUAGGGGUUGUACCCAAAGCACGGAACUUAAGCCCCGGUGAACGGCGGCCGUAACUAUAACGGUCCUAAGGUAGCGAAAUUCCUUGUCAGGUAAGUUCUGACCCGCACGAAUGGCGUAACGACUUGAGCACUGUCUCAACAAGGGACCCGGCGAAAUUGUAGUACCAGUGAAGAUGCUGGUUACCCGCGAUAGGACGGAAAGACCCCGUAGAGCUUUACUGUAGCUUGGCAUUGAAUUUUGGUAUUAGAUGUACAGGAUAGGUGGGAGACUUGGAAACUAGGACGUCAGUCUUGGUGGAGUCAUCCUUGGGAUACCACCCUUCUAAUACUAGGGUUCUAACGACGUGCGGUGAUCCCGGCGUCGGACAUUGCCAGGUGGGCAGUUUGACUGGGGCGGUCGCCUCCCAAAGAGUAACGGAGGCGCCCAAUGGUUCCCUCAGAAUGGUUGGAAAUCAUUCAUUAGAGUGCAAAAGCAAAAGGGAGCUUGACUGCGAGAGAGACAUCUCGAGCAGGUACGAAAGUAGGGUUUAGUGAUCCGGCGGUAUGAGAGUGGAAUUGCCGUCGCUCAACGGAUAAAAGCUACCUCGGGGAUAACAGGCUUAUCUCCCCCAAGAGUUCACAUCGACGGGGAGGUUUGGCACCUCGACGUCGGCUCGUCGCAUCCUGGAGCUUGAAGACGGUUCCAAGGGUUGGGCUGUUCGCCCAUUAAAGCGG